RNAcentral lists this ribosomal RNA (895 nucleotides) under Pseudosolorina saccata. RNAcentral's name for it is "Solorina saccata partial large subunit ribosomal RNA". It matches the Rfam family "Eukaryotic large subunit ribosomal RNA", at positions 49 to 964 of the family's 3401-position model. The record is from RNAcentral. Lineage: Eukaryota; Fungi; Ascomycota; Lecanoromycetes; Peltigerales; Peltigeraceae.
AUCGGUGUGACAACAGGGAUUGCCUCAGUAGCGGCGAGUGAAGCGGCAGCAGCUCACAUUUGAAAUCUGACCCCGACGGGGCCCGAGUUGUAAUCUGCAGAGGGUGUUUCGGGUGCGGUCCCGGUCUAGGUUCCUUGGAACAGGGCGUCAUAGAGGGUGAGAACCCCGUCUGCGACCGGCGACCGAGCCCGUGUGAAACCCCUUCGACAAGUCGAGUUGUUUGGGAAUGCAGCUCCAAAUGGGUGGUAAAUUUCAUCUAAGGCUAAAUAUUGGCCGGAGACCGAUAGCGCACAAGUAGAGUGAUCGAAAGAUGAAAAGCACUUUGGAAAGAGAGUCAAACAGUACGUGAAAUUGUUGAAAGGGAAGCGCUUGCGGCCAGACCCUGCGGGUGGCCGAUCAACCGGUCCUGCGACCGGUGCACUCGUCCACCAGCAGGCCAGCAUCGGUUUGGGCGGCGGGACAAAAGCGGCGGGAACGUAGCUCCCUCCGGGGAGACCUUAUAGCCCGGCGUGCCAUGCCGCCAGCCCAGACCGAGGACCGCGCUUUGGCUAGGAUGCUGGCGUAAUGGCCGCAAGCGACCCGUCUUGAAACACGGACCAAGGAGUCUAACAUCUAUGCGAGUGUUUGGGUGUCAAACCCGGGCGCGGAAUGAAAGUGAACGGAGGUGGGACCCCUUGACCGGGCGCACCAUCGACCGAUCCAGAUGUUUUCGGAUGGAUUUGAGUAGGAGCAUAGCUGUUGGGACCCGAAAGAUGGUGAACUAUGCCUGAACAGGGUGAAGCCAGAGGAAACUCUGGUGGAAGCUCGCAGCGGUUCUGACGUGCAAAUCGAUCGUCGAAAUUUGGGCAUAGGGGCGAAAGACUAAUCGAACCAUCUAGUAGCUGGUCCUGCGAGC